AGUAGUCAGUUGACUGGGUGCCUUGAUUGCGGACACACCAGUACUCCCACACAAACAUAAAUACUACCAGAGACGUUCUCUCUCAUCCAUUCAUGGCUCCACAUCUCCUCCUUGUCCUGCGCAUCCUUUUCUUCCUCACUGGAGUCUCAUAUGCACAGAGUGUGUCCACAGUGAGUCAUGUGUCUGUAAAGCAAGGAGGCUCCAUCACCAUCCCAUGUCUCUAUGAUCAGAGAUAUAGAAACAAUGUGAAAUACUGGUGUAGGGGAUAUAAUUGGUUAAGUUGCUCUACUGUAGUACGCACUGACCAUCCUAAGACCAGUGGAAAGACCUCCAUCUCUGAUGACAUCAACCAGCGAGUCUUCACUGUGACCAUGACAAGUCUUAGUCCUAGUGAUUCUGAUUAUUACUGGUGUAUUGUGGAGAGGAAGAGCAAGGGAGAUGAUGGGGUUAGACUGCAGAUAUCUGUUACUCCAGGUACUCCAGAACUCUACGUGGACCAACAACAGAUGACUGAAGUUGUAGGAGGGAGUGUCACUGUGCUCUGUUGCUAUAGUUCACAAGGAAACCGUGGGAGGUGGUGCAAGAUUGGAGGCUCUUGUGUGGCUGUGGGACAUUCUGGGGCUUUAGAUGGAACAUUUGUGAAGUUAGUGCAGGAGGAGAGCCGAACCACCAACGGUUAUGUCUUAAUGGUGACUAUGAGUGGAUUGAUGAUGGAGAACACUGGCUGGUACUGGUGCGAAAAGGGAGACAUACAGAUGCCUGUUCAUAUCACUGUCAAUCAACCAACCACAACACAGAGCACCACCACAACAACACAAGCUUCAUCCACUCACCAAGCGUCACUAACCAGUGCUGAGUCUAACACUUUUCCGCCCACAGUUUCCCCUUCUGUUACAAACAGGGACAAUGUUGUAACUAACGAGAACACAGAUGAGAAGCACCAGAGUUGGCUGGAAUUCCUGUUCAUUCCUCUGAGCCUAUUGGUGGUGUUGAUAGCUGUUACCUUGGUCACAUUGAAGAUGUUGAGAAAACAUAAGGACAAGAAAGCAAAGGACCAACCACCAAACACCACAGUACAGUCUUCUGACUCUGAGCAGAACAUUACCUACAGCACUGUGAGUCACAUCAGAGGAUCAACACAACAGGACCCAUUACCUGAUGAUGCAGUGACAUACAGCACCGUGGUCACCAAGAACAAGGUCCAACCAAAUAUUCCAUUACCUGAUGAUGCAGUGACAUACAGCACUGUGGUCACCAAGAACAAGACCCAACCAAAUGCAGCAGAACCAGAUGAUGUGGUCUACAGCACAGUGGCCCAACACCAGAGAUAGGGAGUAGCAGCAGAGCAGUGACAGAAUUAAAUCCUUGGUCCCAAAGAACCAGACAAGCUUUAUGGGGAAAAUACUGGAGGAUCUCAGUGUACUAAGGCAUCAGAAGAAAUGUGUCCAGAUUGACAGAAGUCAUGAUGUAAGUGGUGCUUGUGAAGACAGGAGGAUCCAUUACAGAGCUAUAGAGCUAUAGAAACCAUGUGAAAUACUGGUGUAAAGGACAUCGUUGGAACAGAUGCUGUUAUGUAGUCCUCACUAACCAUCCUAAGAGCAGGGAUAAGACCAGAAUCACUUAUGAUAUCAAUCAGGGAACCUUCACUGUGACCAUGGCUGACCGGGAGCCAGGGGACUAUGGGUAUUACUGUUGUGAUGUGGCGGAUAAAAUGACAGUUUUACAGGAUACAAAUGUCCUUGUCAGUCACUCUAGGUAAGAUGCAGACACUGUUUGCAUCUGUUCUUCAUUUUCCAUUGACUAUCCUGUUGAGUAUCCAGCAUAAUGUUGCCCCACUGUACAUAUUUCGACGACGAUACUUUUAUGGUGGAUAUUUCCAAGCUAGACCAUACAUUGUCCAGAUCUUAAUAUCUCAGUGUUGUUUACUUUGUGUGUAGAUAAUACAGAACUUUGCAUGGGCCAACAACAGUUGACUGUUACACCCAUGGCCCGAACAUGAUGUGGUGCAGGUUUGGUGCCUUGUGUUUGGGGUAUCCUGAGACUUUGGAUGGCACAUCAUUAACAUUACAGCCAAUCAAUGGUCAAUCCAGCGGUUAUGUUUUGAUGUUGACCCUUAUUAAGUGGACUGAACAUGAAAAACACUGACUGGUACUGGUGUGCAAUGGGAGACCUACAGAUGCCUGUUCAUAUCAUUUAAGGAAUAAGGCAUGAGGGGGUGUGGUAUAUUGCCAACAUACUACUGCUAAGGGCUAUUCUUAUGUACGACGCAACGGAGAGUGCCUAAACACAGACCGUAGCCAUGCUAUAUUGGUCAUAUACCACAAACCCACAAGGUGCCUUAUUGCUAUUUUUAAACUGGUUAACAAUGUAAUUAGAAAAGUAAAAUAAAUGUUUUACUGUUCAGCCAAUCAGCAUUCAUAAUUUCAAUCAACCAAU
Molecule: RNA transcript, 2436 nt
Organism: Oncorhynchus kisutch (coho salmon)
Lineage: Eukaryota; Metazoa; Chordata; Actinopteri; Salmoniformes; Salmonidae
Gene name: polymeric immunoglobulin receptor-like
Exons: 12
Source: RefSeq, a predicted model, not a curated record